This 632-nucleotide ribosomal RNA is filed under the name Bacillus cereus. RNAcentral describes it as "bacterial SSU rRNA". It matches the Rfam family "Bacterial small subunit ribosomal RNA", at positions 68 to 683 of the family's 1533-position model. Lineage: Bacteria; Bacillati; Bacillota; Bacilli; Caryophanales; Bacillaceae. The record is from RNAcentral.
UGGAUUAAGAGCUUGCUCUUAUGAAGUUAGCGGCGGACGGGUGAGUAACACGUGGGUAACCUGCCCAUAAGACUGGGAUAACUCCGGGAAACCGGGGCUAAUACCGGAUAACAUUUUGAACCGCAUGGUUCGAAAUUGAAAGGCGGCUUCGGCUGUCACUUAUGGAUGGACCCGCGUCGCAUUAGCUAGUUGGUGAGGUAACGGCUCACCAAGGCAACGAUGCGUAGCCGACCUGAGAGGGUGAUCGGCCACACUGGGACUGAGACACGGCCCAGACUCCUACGGGAGGCAGCAGUAGGGAAUCUUCCGCAAUGGACGAAAGUCUGACGGAGCAACGCCGCGUGAGUGAUGAAGGCUUUCGGGUCGUAAAACUCUGUUGUUAGGGAAGAACAAGUGCUAGUUGAAUAAGCUGGCACCUUGACGGUACCUAACCAGAAAGCCACGGCUAACUACGUGCCAGCAGCCGCGGUAAUACGUAGGUGGCAAGCGUUAUCCGGAAUUAUUGGGCGUAAAGCGCGCGCAGGUGGUUUCUUAAGUCUGAUGUGAAAGCCCACGGCUCAACCGUGGAGGGUCAUUGGAAACUGGGAGACUUGAGUGCAGAAGAGGAAAGUGGAAUUCCAUGUGUAGCGGUG